AAAUAUUAUUAUUUGAAUAUAUUUAAAACAGUACUUAAAUAUUAUGUCUAUAAACAUUAACAUACCCGUAACAAGUAUAUGCAAUUUGAAAGUGAACUGCAGAAGUGCCAGUAAUAGGUGGUUGAAUAUUUGGACAUAGCGGCUGUGUUGGAACACUAUUUUUUUUUGAUGAACAAGUCGUAGCUAAACUGGGUGGAUAUCUUUCUAAUGCUUCUUUUAGAGUUGUCAUUUUAUAUAAAAUUCGAUUUUUCUAUUAGAUUCAAAUAAUAAAUGUCAAUAUCUUAAGAAUAUUAAAAUGAGGCAGAUACAUUGUAAAACGAACAAGGAUACUUUCACGAAAUAUACACGCAGUCGUACAUUGAUUCAGGAAUCGAUCAGCGAUACUAUGUACAACACAACCACGGAAGCGUGCACGAUGUUGAAGUAAUUCGCAAAUAAUGCGGUUGCACUUUUCUCAAAUUUGGCACGCGGUGCAUCUGCUCGUAUAUUAUUUCCAUUUUUAUCCCUUUUCCCUUAUUCCAGUGUCUUUGUGUGCUCACGUAACAAAUUAAACAAUCUUAAAUGCACUAUAAUCUCUUUCAGUGAGUCAAAACACUGGAAUAUGUCUCAACUGAUGUCUGUUCUUGCUAUUUUUUUUAUAAUAAAUUUUUCAAAAUAAACGUUAUUUGAUAAACUACCAAGAGGAUAAACAGAUUAGUUUUGCAACAGAUCGAAAAUGUUUAAGGUUAGAAACAGAAACCAGUCAAGAUGAUUUCUAUUUUAAUUUAGAUCCUUUAGAUCCUUUAGAUCCUAGCCAAAUAAAUUUAAACGAAUAGUUAACUUACAUGAGUAAGUUAUAUGUAAGUACGAUAUGAAAGAAAAAAAA
This is a long non-coding RNA of Apis mellifera (honey bee), 865 nucleotides long. RefSeq lists it as uncharacterized. The record is from RefSeq and is a predicted model, not a curated record. The transcript is spliced from 2 exons. NCBI's taxonomy places the organism in Eukaryota, Metazoa, Arthropoda, Insecta, Hymenoptera, Apidae.